GAGUGUCAACUGAAAAGUACGGCAACCGAACCGCGGCAAAACAGUGUUAAGCGUUACGUGUUAUACGUGUUAUACGCGUUAUACGCUGCAUGCUCGGAAGACCCGAUAUAUUCUUCUCGCCACGGUCGUCAAACUCAAUCGGACAUAUCGUCGGGUGGACGGAUGGAUAAAUUACCCCGCUACGGGUGCUUGCAAGCACGCUCCCCUCCGGGUUGGUGUCGCGGUUCGCGCCCCGGGGGAUCCCCGGUCAUCUUACAAGCUCUUCCUUCUCGCCGAUAAAAAAAUCACGCCGCACAACUAGGUUUAUUAAUUUCUCCGUGACCCCGGACCCGAUGACUGAUCAAUAAGCGUCCGACCGUUUCAAUGACGGGCCAAAUUUUUUCAUUCCCAAUCCUUCCGACUCCGAAAGAGCGAGGGAGAAGAAAUUGGACAGCGUGAAGAGAACGGGACAACCUUGUGCACGGUUCGGCAGGGGAAUAACAGUUUCUUGGUAUACGACUUCCGGUUAUUAUUUCCGACCGCACAACCGCGAGUGAUAGGCUCUACGUCAUGCGGAAAAAGUGCGGAGUGCACUCUCUGUAAUUAUUGGUCUGACGCCCGGUCGACGGACAUUCGGAAAAGGUUUUGUACGCGGUGGCGCUGUGCACUCGACGACGGAGGAUAAAAAAUGCAUGUGUGAGGCACGGACAAACGAGCGUGCGAGGGAUCGAUCGAUCAUAUUUUUCAAACUGUUUUGUCGCCCCGUUGUGCGGUCCACAUGCAUACGUUCUGAGGGUGUGCAUGAUCCAUGUGCCCACUGUGAACAGGGAACGAGGAACGAAGAGCGGCCAUGUUGUCACCUCGAACAUCUGCCACCCGGUUGCUCGGUUCGCAGGUCGACGUUGCAGUGUAGGACUGGUGUCAAUGCGAAACGAGCUGGUUAAACGUGUCGGCUGAGUGUUUGUCCGAGCAGGCCGCCGGCGAUAAUUCCGGCGAAAAUGCGGUGCCGAAAUCAUCGCGAAUCGGGCUCGCGUUUGAAUGAUAUCCUACGUACGUAGAUAUUCAAUUAGCUAAACCACGCCGCGAUCAUAUCGCACGAACGCCGGACGGGGAUUUAAUUAUAACCGUCAGUCAGACUCUCUUGCAACGGUGUUAAAAUAUUUCAACGAAAAACCACGAUCUGGUCUCGUGGUAAUGUUAUUCCCAAGGAUAGAUCAUCGGCUUCGUAUAUUCUGCGUGCCAAACACGCAUCAAGGACAAUUAGUGCGAGGAUAUCUUUUUCGAUGACGCGAUCGAACGCGAUGAAGAAGUGAACAAAGGAAUACCUCGACUGGAGGGCCUGGAGCCAAAUUGCGGCUAAGAGAGAAAGAGAGAGAAAGAGAGAGAAAAUUUGUCUGCAUACGUACACGUCGAAGGGACAAAUUGGGACAAGGUUUCCGCGACAUCCGGCACUUUGGUUAAAGCCUCUUACAGGACUUUGGGCACGGCAUAAAGAGGCCAAAAGGAUCCGGGAGCCCGGUUCCAGGGGUGGAGAAACUUUGUGUCGAAUGGGACGCGCUCCCUCCGCUAAAUGCCGGGCUGCGGCCCAUUGUUGCACUCAAAAAUGUCAACGGCGUCACGCUUUGAGGACGCUCGACGCUCUGUGCUUCCAAAGAUUUCUUUCUAUACACGGAUUACCAUUGCUCCUCGAGUGCUGCGGGGAUUCGAGAACCUCGAGUAAAGUGCAUUACGGUUCAUCCGCGCAGGGAUCGAGACGACAGGUAGAAAAAUUCGUUGCGUUUAUUCGAUGAACCGGCCUCCCGUAAUCCACGCAACGAGUUGGCCAACAUUUUUUCCGUACACUGCAAUGGGAGAAAGGAAAUGAUCCGGUGCUCGAGGCAAGAAAUAAUCAUUGACCUAAAUUUUCACCGAACCCUCGUACAGGUCCGAAUCGGACCGAUUUCGUUUCCGAGACGAAGCACGCCUUCCCGUUCAGGAGUCAAGUCAUUCCAAACGGGACUCCAACGGUAUCCGAAGCCUAUCUUUUAUGCAGAAACCUCUAGCUUCGAGUGUACGCAAAGUUCCGUGCGACGGGACGUUGAGAACUAAAACUCUGUGUGCAUUAUUCAGGAACUUGCUACUGGCAUUUCUUCACCGAUGGUACAAAUAACGAGCCAUCACUAUCAAGUUGUCGUCUAUCAUUGAUGCAAUCAAUAGGCCAUGAGAUUGAAGACUCGACUAGUCGAGCCUCUGCACUGCUUGAGAACGAAUGAAUUUUGUAUUCCUUGACGUAUGAGUUACCUAUCCACGCAACGAGCAAAACUUCGUUGAUAGUUUGACUGACGGGAAUAGAACACCGGGAAAUAAAUAGACGAACGACGAUGACGCGUAAUGGCAAAUUUCUUUAUCUUUUUUUUUACACUAUCUACUUGUCCAUGGAUCGAUACGUUUUUCAACCUCGCAACGCGGAGUUCAGGUGUCGAGAGGAAGGAAGUGGGCAGGCCAAAGUAUCUAGUUCUGUCCUGAGCAUCCUGUCAAGUGGAUCCUCCGCGUACAAAAGGAUCAGACCCAUAAUUGGCUCCUCAAAGCACCUGCGAGCUCGGCUAGACCGUGCUGCAGCAGCAUUCUUUGACCCUUGAGAACCUUGCGCAAGGACCUUUGUCUGCCGAUAUUCGAUACGUUCGGGUCGUAUGCUGCAGGAAAAUUGUCGGAGAGAAAGAAAACUGAGAAGAAGAUCAGAGGGACCCCAAUUUCCACAAUUACGAAAAGGAUCCGAUGAAAUACACUGCGGUACAAGCGCAAGGCUUCGAAACUAGGAGACAAAGUUCUGGGCUCUGUAGAAAACUUUUCAUUCACCGCGUCGAAGUCCGUUCAACCUACAAUCGGGAACCGGGAAUCAAUUCCUUCGGCACGUAAAGCAGACCAAUUACAACCGAUGGGGUAAACACACGAGGGG
Molecule: long non-coding RNA, 2914 nt
Organism: Neodiprion fabricii
Lineage: Eukaryota; Metazoa; Arthropoda; Insecta; Hymenoptera; Diprionidae
Exons: 2
Source: RefSeq, a predicted model, not a curated record